CCAGCACGUAUGCAGAAAGCACAGGGGAAAAGUAGGUGAUACAGUGCUGAUGCUGAGAGCCCAGGGCUUGCUUGUGCCCUUGGUUUUAGCUUGGUGUUGUGCCAUUGACUUGGGUGGAAGAAGCUCUCACAGCCAUGUAUGUCAGCAGUCUGUGCUUCUUUCCUCAUGCCUGCUGGUGCACUCACAUAAAAAGCAUGAUUCCAGAUGCCACUGCUCUUCUCACUAAAUGCUGUAGUCAUUGUGGAGUAAGAGAACCUGGUUCAGACUACCCAGGCUAGAAGGAAAGGUGGUGGUGUCAGCUAAGUGGGCUCAGUGCUGGGAAACUGGGCAGUAUUGCUUCAUGAGGAAACCAGGAGCCAAACAGAGGAGAAUGACAACUGAGGAAUAACCAAAUAGCAGACCUAGCUGGUUAAAGGAAGGGACUCGCAGUUCACACAGCAAUGGGAGGAACAGAGGCUGCCACAUUAAAAGGAGCAUUCUUCCUUGACUCUGGGCUUUUAAGUGUAGUACAGGACAGAAGUGUCUAAGGAUGAAGAGACCAUCUGCUACCAGGAGAAAAUGGCAGAUAUUCAGAAUAUCAGCAUUGCAAAAGCCCCUCAAGAAUUCUCUUCAAAGAAAUCUGGUCAGUGAUUUAACACAAUAUAAAAUGUUAUGUAAAAGCACUAAGAAAUAUUCUCAUAAAAGCCAUUUGGGAACAAAAAAAGAGACAACAACAAAUGUUUCAGCCAACAUUUCCAAAGAAGGAUCUAUCAUUUUUAUUAUUAUUAUUUUUAGACUCAAUCUUUUGCCUCGUUCAAGCAGAUGAAGAAUUGGCUUUUCAUAUGCAUCUUAUGCCAGAACCCAAGCUGGGAACAAGGUGCUUGUCUGCUCUUCAGCAUUUGAUAUGCUGUAGUUGAGGAUUCUGAGGGGAGGAAACAAGGCUCAAAGCAACAUUAUAACCCUGGUCUUCAGGAGAGCAAGCUUUGGACUUUGAUCUGAUUGGAAGAAUCCUACAGGAGACGGCCCUGGAGAGAAGAGUGGUUCAGGAGAUCUGAUUGAUUUUCAGAGAUUAUCUGUUCCCAGCACCAGAAUGGUCCAUCCCAAUGAGCAGGAUAUCAAGCAAAGGUAGCAGGAGAUGGGCAUGGAUGAACAAGGAGCUCCUUACCAAAUUAAAAUGCAAAAAGGAAGUAUGCAAAAAGUGGGAGCAGGUGCAGGUGAUUCAGGAGGAAUACAGAGACACUGAGUGCAUGACUGGGGAAAGAAAAGUUAGCCCAUAUGGAGUUGAGUAUUCAAGGGGCAGUAAAGGUUAACAAGAACAGCUUCCCUGGGUACAUUAAUAGGAAAAGGAAAACCAGGGAAAAUAUGGGCUUGGUGCUGUAUGGGGCAGAAGGGCAGGAGAUUUGGUGGCAAAGGGCUAAGAAAAGGUCAAUGCCUUUUUCCCACUGGAUUUUACUGUAAGACUGGAGUUCAGCAAUCCAAGGGCCCUGAGACCAGAGGGAAAGCCCAGAGCAAGGGAGAUGUUCUCUCAGUGCCAGAGGAUGGGGUUAGGGAGCAUUUAAACAAACUGGACACACUUGAUCCCAUGGGAGCUGGCAGGGUGCUCUCACAGGCACUGAGGGAGCUGGCUGACAAAUUGUGAGACUGCUCCUGAUAACCUUUAAAAGGCCCUAACUUUUGGGAGAGGUACCUUAGGAGUGGAAGAAAAAAUAAAAUUCACUCCCUGUCUUCAGGAAGGAGGAUCUGGGGAACUGCAGGCCAGUCAGCCUCACUUGGAUCCCCAGGAAGAUUAUGGGAAAACUCAUCCAGGAGAUAGUUUCCAAACAUAUGAAGAACAAGUAGGUGACUAGGAGUCAUCAUGGACUUCAGAAGGGCAAAAGUGUGCUCAAUCAAUCUGAUAGCCUUCUACAACAAUAUCAGUGUGUUAGGUUAUGUGAUACGGGGUACAAGGGAGGGAGUUAGAUGAUUUUAGUGGGAACAAAAGUGGGAAAAUAGCAGGGCAAAGGUAUAAAAAGAGGUGGUUGUCCAUAAGCUGUUGACUGGUCAGUUAUAUGGCUGUGGCCUGCAGCUGUAUUCUGUCCUGAAAAAGACGAGACUGUUUCAUGCAGAGAAAAGAAGGCUCAAGAUGGGCCUUGUGUGUAAAAAUAUCUGAAAGAAAGAUGUAAAGUGACAGGCUCUUUUCAGUGGUGCCCAGUGACAGGACAAGAGAGAACGGGCACACACUGAAAUACAGGUUUAAGCCUUCACUCCAAAAGUGGGAUAUGUGUCCGGGAGGUUGUGAAAUCUCCCUCCUUCAAAACCCAACUAAAAAUGGCUCUCAAAAACUGCUCAGAGCUGUCCCUACUUUGAGAAGGGAGGUUGGACUGGAUGAUCUCCAUAAGUCCCUGUCAUCAGUUUUGUAGUUUGGUGGUGUCAGUGUAGCUGAGGUGCAGCACAGCUGGGAACACAAGACAUCCUCUCCUGGACUGCCACCUUCAACAGCUCCACAGCUGCCAAAGGAAUUGGUGAGCACAUCACUUGCCUCUGAAGGAGGGAGCAGAAGAGGCGCCAAGGAAGAGCUGCAGUCUGUCCCUCAUAAAUGGCAGUGGGGAAGCCUCAGCUCUGCUCCCAAGGCUGGUGUUGACAUUGAGCUGCUGGUGUUGCCCUGCAAGAGCUGCUGACACCUUCCUGCUGCUGCACAUCUCUGCCCCUCACCCUGCCCCAGUGAGGCACAGCCCCUCUUGGCAUGCGCCUGCUGCGAAGCCUCUUCAUGGAAUCACAGAAUCUCUGGGCUGGAGGGGACCUUAAACACAUCCAGUUCAAACCCCCUGCCUUGGCUAGGGACACCAUCCACUGGAUAAGGUUGCUCAGAGCCCCAUUCAGCCCACCCUUGGAUGGGCUAGGGUGUCCAGGGAUGCUGCUACAGAAACACCUGAGCACCUUCCCCACGUUGCAGGAGGUGAUGGAGCUGGGAGCAUGUCCCAGACCACUGCCAGCAUGGCACCUGCCCUUGCCUGGCCACACUGCUUGAUCCAGAGGGGGAGGUCACUUGUGAGGGUCGAGAUGCCCUUCACAUCCCCUUCUCUGCCACAAGCCAGGCUCCUCUCAAGAGGCAUCCCACUUUAGCAUAGGGUAAACAUUAUUUAAUCUAGUAAAAUUUCUUUGGAUUGCUCUAGACUCUUUAAAAAAAAAUAAAAAAGAAAAAAGAAAGGCUGCCUGCUAAUUUCGGGCACUUGUUACUGAGACAGUUAACUCCAAGGCAAAUUUUAUUGGCCUUCUGUAAUGCAAGUUAAAUAUAGGGGCAGCAGGAAUUUCCCUCCAGGCCAGAGAGGUCUCACACAGAAUAUUUGAACUUUGCAGGCAUGCACACCCCAUAAGGCAAUGCAGAGUAUUUCACCCAAGUAGCAACACACUCUCCAGUAUUGCAGCAGCCCUGUGUGUGAGUGAGGGUGGCUGAUUCCCUUUGUCUACUGUGACAAAGUCUGUGUACCAUCAUCCUUACUCCUACCUGAUCAUUCCUCUUCUUUGAUCCUUUCUAGCACCGUGAAUGAAUUUUUAAUUCAUACUUACUCCUUUGUGUGUAAUUACUUCAAUAAUUUCAUUCUGGGCUACUCCACAUUUCCACCAGCACACCACAGAGAAUUAUCAGUUUAUUUACUUAUUUUGUAAAGUUCUGGAAUUUACUCUUUUAUCCAUUAGAAGUCCAUGGGAGAUGUUUAUUUUGCCUAGCAUUCAGUAUAAAGUUAAUUUGAAACAAAAUAAUAGAAAAGGGGGGAGGGAAUAAAAGAGAAUGGGUAGCUGCAUUUAUUUCUCCUUGAUUAAAACAACUAAUUGGCCUGUCCUGGAAGAGCUCCUCUUUGGACAAAAUAAAGACCUCCACACCUUGUGCAUACACCUGAAAGUCCCCAGAGAAAUGUUACUGUUCCAGUGUAAACCACUACUGACACAAAACCUUGCUGGGAGCAUAUUUUCACUUGCCUUGGCCGUCCUGAUGCAAGCUGGGUGUCACAGCAGAGAGGUCCAGGUCUAAUGCAAGUGCUUGCUAAUGAACUCAGUUAUCUCAAACCACUGAAGAAGGCAGUCUGAACUAGCCCAUGUGCAGUGGAGCAGCUCAAGGAGUGUCCACACAACCCCUUCUGCUGGCAGAGAAGGAGCUGUGAACUUCAGGUGGGACUCGGACACACACAGUCACUGCUGAAAAAGUAUGUAAGAAGAAGACAUCUAUCCACAGCCUGGAAAUCCAUCUGACUUCAACAUGGUCCAUUUGAGGUAAUGGUAGCACAUGGACCAGAUUUUAAAUAUUAAAAGAUUCCAACACAAACUAAAUUAAAACCUAAUUACACAACCUUGCAAUGAAGAGGGAAGAAUAAACAUAAUAACUGAACUCUAUUAAGGGAUUUGCAUUUGUACGGGAACAUUUGCAAAACUAAGUGUUUUAAAAAUUGUUUCAGAUAAUUUGGCCAGGAAUAAUUAUCACAUAAAAUCAGACUGUAAACACAGAGAAAACCAAAUUAAGCUAAGACAUGAGGUAAAGUAAGAUAUUAAUGAGAAUCAUUGUUUCAUAUUUUGUACACUUUUUUUCAACAGCCCUGAAAUGUCUUACUGCAGGAUAAUUAGAAUAUAAUCUUGUUCCAGGAAAUCCAGCACUUGCAAGCCCAGCCCUGUGUGUGUUUGCAUUUAAGUCUGUCUGUACACUGCUUGGAAUAACCUGACUGAUGUGCCAGAUACUCACUAGUAUCUACUAGAGAGCAGGGAGAAGGCAAGCAGCACUAAUUUUUCAGUUGAUUUUUAACUUAGGAAAGAGUACAGGUGCCACUAAAGACCAUAAAAAAUAGAGAGGAUCUUGGAAAAGUUAUCCUUGUGGAACAGAAAGAUCAAAGGGAGAAUCAAUUUGGGGAAAACAGUCUAAAAGUGAGCACAACAGGUAGUGGUAGAAUUACAAAGCAGUAAUGCAAAUUAAAAAAAAAAAAAAAAAGAAGGCAUGUGGAAGGAUGUUGGAAGUGCAGAACAAUUCUUUCCAGAUUUAUAAUGAUUUGUAGACAAGCAGACUAGGAAGUCCUUGAAUAUAUUUUAAAGUAGCCUGGAUGGAAAUUGGAAUGCAGGCCAUAUUAUCUGGAGCUUGAAACUUUUGCCUAAAAGUACUUGCAAUCCCUUUAUUGCAGCUGUGUCUUUCUUUAACUUCCUAAUCUUUUGCUUGCUUUGUGACAUUAGAUAGAUUUUUAGAGUUAAGGUCUAUUCCAAGCCUUAGAGGUUCUAAAAUCAUAAGCCAGAUGUUUGGAAAUGGAGAGGGGAACUUAAGAAACAGGGAAUUAACAUAGUGACAUAUAGGUUGUGUGUAUAUAUAUAUAUAUAUAUAUAUAUAUAUAUAUAUAUACACAUGUGUAUGUUUUGCAAUUUCUUUUGCUCAUUCACUCCAUCAGGGUCCUGAGAACACUUAACAGUUCUCAAUAAACCUGGCCAGCCCCAUCUGGGACCUCCACCCAACCACCUUAAAAGGGAGCAGAGCCCCUUUUUAGUUCAGCUGGGGUCUGUCAGCCUCUGCUUGAUCUGUUGGGGGGUAUUUUGGUCUCCAGCUCAGCCUGUCUAGGGCUUGCUAUGGAGACCUUUUCUCUGGAACUCAUUGUCUGGACUGGUUUCCCAGCCCAAACUGGGCACUGUCUCAUCAUCAUGGCCCUACCAUCACUGGACCUGACUUAUGAACUGGCUUCCUGGUUCUGCCUUCCUGGUUUGAUCUUGGAUCUGCCCUGUCAGCAUGCUUUUCCCUUGUGGUCUGGACUCUCGGUUGCUAUCUCUGAGCUCAUCCUGCUUGGCUCACUUGAGGCUGAGGGGCAGGCUCUGGAGUCAGCUCAGUUCCUGGCUUCCAUCCCUUGGAGAAAAGACCUGGAUUUGCUGCUCUCUCUUCUGCUUCCGUCAAGUGUGUGUGUGUGAGUGCACAGAGGUGAGGUACUGUGCUGUCACGGUGACAGAAGGUGGUGGCUCCUACCCACUCUACAGAAAUGCUGUAACUGAAGCCAUCUUUUUGCCUAAGGAGGCAGGAGAUGUUGUUAACUGUCUACUCUUCCCCUGGAAGCAGGAAAGCAGCAGACUAUACAGCAGAAGGCAGAGAUACGGAAUAGAAGUCUCUGGCAGCAUUGCUAUAUUAUCUGCACCACAGGAGGAAAAUCUAGAUAAUGGUUUUAUUUUCAGAUGUGAAGAUCUGUGGUUCAGAUUUAGCUGGAGGACUUUGCCCACAAAUACAGAUAAUCCUCUAUUCAGUGUUUCACUUCACUGCAAAGCCUUGCUUGUCUAGGUAAAAAAUGUGCACUGGCAUGCCUCUUGUGUUUCCGGAGCUCAGUGUUCAGGUCAGACUCGGUAAUUCUUAUCUCUCAGACUGAUCCACUUGUGUUUUACAGGGCAAGGGGACUGGGAUUCUGCAGUAAGCUUCCAGAAUCACCUUUUGAUCACUUUUUGCCACUGCAUCCAACCAACUCCACAAAAUCAAGGAAUGUUUUUGGCCUCAGUAGUAACAGAGCUGGGCAGCAGGUCCCAAACUUGAAAACAAGAAGCCACUAUUUGUAUUUCCAUGUCUUCUCUGUGCUUCCACUGGGAGAUGCUUAACAGGUAUCCACCAAAUGGUCAGCCCAGAGGAUGAUAGAGAAAUGAGUGAAGGAAGUGUCAAUCCUUCCUUUCCUAACCUGUAGCUUCUCAAGAUACAUCCAGAUUGGAAAAAAAAAGAUGGGAAACAGUGUCUUCUCACACAGUCUGGGUAGGAAAAAGGGGCUUUGAAACUGGGAGAGAAGUAAUGUGGAGAGCAACUGGAUACAGAGACAAAACACAGUGGGAAGACAGGCCCUGGGAAUGGGAGCAGGCAAUGAAGAAGUAGUUAAAAAGAGUGUGUAAGUGGAAAAGGUAUAUUAAAAAUAAAGUUUAUAUGCAGCCUGUGAGGCAAAAGGGGGAGAUACAAAGGUAGGUACCAUGACUUUGGCCUCCAUAAACCAGACUGAAUUAUCCUGUUUACUUUAUCCUGCAGUCCAUAGCAGUGAAGUGUUUCUGCAUCUCUUGGUUUGUGUGAAUAAUAUGUUCUUGGCAUCAGCUUUGGUUUUAAUGUGAUUGGUUUUUAAACAUAAUUAGAAGUGUUUUUACAGCUUUGUGUACUUCUGUUUAAGAGACAACAAAAAGAAAUGCACAGAUAUGUUUUUUUACCAGAGAAAGAGCUCUAAAACAUUACACCAGAAUGGCACUACUGUCUUGAUAAUAAGAACAUGCAUGGUGGACCAUUGCAGAAUUGGCUUUGAACGUUUGCCAGCAAAGCCUCUGACUCAACAGAAAGCACAGCCUGUGGUUUGUUAGCCCAUUGACCUUGGUGCCUUGUUGUGCAAGCUGUUUACAGGAUCAGAUACCCCAAAGUGGAGCCUUAGAUGGGGGAGGAGGUGUUCAGUAAUGUUUCAAUGAUGAACUUUCUUGAUAUAGUAAAAUUCACUUUCCUUUUUCAUUUGAGUUCACUGUGGAGGCUACAGUAAGAUCAUCAGGGACUCCAGGAAUGCAUGGUCCCACUAAGCCAAGGGGAUAAUACACAUGCUCAAAUGAUGCCUGUAAAACUUGAUACAAGAACCCCUUAAGCACAUGCUCUGGUUUUCUGAGAGUGCAUUAGGGGGACUUAACAGACACACAAAUUCUUUCCUGAAGAUAGGCACAGGAAAAAUUACUCCACAAAGGAAAUGCCUCUCCAUAGAGGGACUCACAGCUGUGCUAUGUACUCUUGCCCCUCACUGCACUCUGGUGCCUGAAGCCUUUGGGGAGCUGAGCUGCUCUUCACAGGCUUGUCUCCUAUCUGCAUCCAGCAUCUGCCUCAUGUGGCUUGGUAUUCUUUAUCUCAACUGGCCUGGCCUCCAUGCUGGAUUUCUUCUGGACAAGCAGACAAACCCAGUAUUUUUAAGAAGUGAGUGCACACCGUUUUUGGGGUUUAUGGGUUGACUGGCUGCUCCUCCUGUAGCAUUUCUAUGGCAAUAAUAUAAUCUAAGUAUUUUGAAGGAACUUUGACAAUUUAAGCCAGUGGAGGAUUCAGUGUCUUAACAUCUGCUUUUUCUUGUGUUUCCAUGAGCUUAUCUGCAAGCUUAACAGUGCAUCAGUGUCAGAUUCUACUUUCCACAAAUGUGCACACAUUUAAUUCACCAGAAUAUUUGUUCCACCGUUUGGUCAAAAUAAUAUAUAAACCACUUUUUUGUGACUUAAAAAGGGCCUUAACACUUGCUGUAAAGAUAGGGCCUGGGAAUGAUUCACCUCUGAAGGAAAUAGUGGGCUGUUUCGUUGCACCACUUCUUAAGCCAACAGACAAACAGCUUUGAGACCUGCUGCUGCAUCCUAGAACAUGUUUUGAUGUUGCCUUUCAAGUGCUUAAACAGAAGAUAGAGUCAGUUGUGAAAUGUUUUACUCCUUUUUGAUGAAAAGGAGCUUCAAUUGGAACGUGGUGAAGCCAUGGCACAACUUUCUAGAAGGGGUGCAAUAUGCAGCUGGAGCUGAAGAAGCCGGUGUGGAGGCUGCCAAGCCAGACUGGAGCAAUAUCUUGGGUCAGAGGCAAACAGAACUGGAUGUUGCAGCCAUCAGCUGCCAUCAGCUAAUCCAUGAAAAACCAAACCUCAAUUAUUUCUCUCCUUGCUGCAGUGAGAAGCCAGCCUUGACCAUGUUUCUUAUUCAUAUCACUGAAGUUCUCCUUCAUCUGUCUUUCCUCUGUCUUGUACGCUACGUGGGCAAUUGUUUAUCCGUGUGUGAAAAUGGGUAAAGGAUGCAGUCAUACUGCUGUGAUAGGAUUUUUGGAAAAUGAGAUCCAUGGCUUUUACAGUGUUGGCCUUGUGAAAUUUUGGACAGCUGCAAGACUGCAAGUGCUGUGUUUUCAACUUGCAUUUGUUUCCUGCAGUGUGUUUUUAAAAUUUUCUACACUCCCUUAGCAUUGGAGCUUGACCUUCUUAGCCUUAGACUAAAAAGAUUUAUAAAAUCACUGGCCACAACUAGAGAAAAUUAUUUUUCAGGAGACCCCUAUAAACAGGGAAAUUACACAGAACCACAAUAAUUCAAAGCAAAACCAUAUGUUUAAUUAUUGUUAUAGCCAUUUGAAUUUAAGGAUGACUGAACAUCUUUAAAUGAUAGAGCAUGGCUUACAAAAGGUGAGCUGCAUGGUUUGUAAUGCACCUCUGCAAAUAUUCUGUGUACUAUUUGAAUGCCACUUCACAGUUCUGAGGAAUAAAGGCUAAAGAAACUUGAAGCUUUGUUGUUGAUCUGUACCUAGUGAUCUGCAAUAUGCUUACAAAGUAAACAUUCCAGUCAUCAAAUAAAUUUUAAUAUAUUUGAGAAUUUUCAAUAGAAUGGGAAUUAUUUUCUCCUUUGUGGAUUUCUUCUAUUCAUAUCUGUACUGGGAAGGAAGCAAGGGAAAACAUUUCCACAGAAAACAACUUUGUUUUGCUUAUUUCCUUUUAACCCUGCAACCUUUGAGCUGCUAAGCUAACUUAACAUGCUCAAAAAGUGAUAUUUAAAAGAACUGUCCCACACAUGUCUGUGGCAAACAAUAGUAGAGGGCCACCGAAUGGCAAAAAUACUUCAGGAAGAAAGCAUGGGUUGGAAUGCUUUUUAAUAAUUUAGAUAUGUUAAAAUGUUUGUGGUCAACCCUAAAGAAAAAGCAUACCACUGAAGGCAUCUUGGCAAGGUGCACUUGUGUUAAGUGCCUCAUGUGUCUUCUGUUUCUUUAACUGAUAAAAUAAAAGGCUUAGGAAAAAAUGCUGGCAAGCAACACCAUAUUUAAAUGAACAGUUCAGAACCUAGAGCUACUGAGAAAGAAAGAUCAGAGUGAACUGGUGGGGUGAGGUAAAAAGGAGAUGCAGUGGAAAAUAUGAGCAACUUCAUGAAAAAGUUCAGAAACCUGUCUAACUCAGAAGUAAAAAUACCAGAGUGGAAGGGAGUAAAACGGCUGUGAAAGUGCAGAUCCCGCUGACCUAUAGAGAAGCAGCUCUUUGUGAAAAGACAGAAGCAAUUUUCAGUGGAAAGCCAAAAGCUGUGGGACUUGCUUUUCAUGGGUACAUCUACACUAACUUCAGAGCACCGGCCCAAGCUCAAACUUGCCUCGUGUUUGGACACAAGACUCUGCUCAGGGCCUUGGGUGAGCUCCAUCUCUGGGAGGAGGUGGGGAGUCUGUGCUGGCUCAGCCCUUUAAUAUAACCCAAAUGGUAUCAUAACCAUGCACUUCAGAUGAGCCUUUGCCUUCUCCCAGAUCCUCCAUUCCAGAUCUCAUAAUUCUGUGUGGCUAUUAUCUCCCUCCUAGAAAUGUUUAAUGUCACAUCCCACAAAACCCUGCUGGAUGUGUGGUGUGCUGAGUACAGGGCAUUCACAGCAUGCCAGUGGUCCAGCCUGCUCCUUAUCCUGCUAAGGGCAGGUCAGCAGCAGGGCCACACCAUCUGCCCACCACUGGGGCUUCCUCUUGGACAAAAAGCCAAUAGCAGUUCAACCAGUACGAUUUUAAUUUUUUGUUUUCCUCCUUAGACUUUGGCAUGCUGUCAUAAAUGGUUUGGCCAGACAUGGAGUGGGGCCAGCCUGGGAAGUGCUGAGGGUGACUCCCUGUCUCUUGGCCUCACCAGGUGUCUCUGCAGGGAGGAUGCUGCACGAGGUGUGGGCUUGGCGCUGGUCUCACCAGGGCUUGCAGUACCGAAGGACACCUCACAGGCACUCUAUCGGAAGGCAUUCUUCUCAUUGGCUGCUCUGCUCUGUGCCUGGUCUCUUGUCUGAUCUCUGUCCUGUGACCAGCCACAUGAGGCCUCAUGUGCUGGGAGGAAAGAAGGCUGAUGUCAGGCUGUGGUGGUGGUGGUGGUAAAAAUAGGGUUAAAGUAGGAUUUCUUCCCCUACCUCCAUGAGCUGUCCUGUGAUUACCCUUGGGGAAGCACCCCAGCAGCUGCGACUCUUCCAAAGAGGGAGAAGGACAAAAAAUCACCAAAAGAGAUUUUAGCAUGGCCUCUUAAACACAGGUAUUCUUGUCUGAGAUGCUCUGAUAUCAUUAAGAUGAACAUGAUAUAAAUAAGUAGAUAUGGUAUCGGUGAUGUUGAAGUUCAUUGAAAUGUUUGGUUAGUAAUACCUGGAAAAAAGGUGAAGCUCUGUCAGCGAACUGUGCCCUAUAUCACGUGAUUAACCUGAAGCUGGACAGAUUUGUACCUUUUCCUGGCCACAGGACUACCAGGUACCAGGUACCAGAACACAGAGAUGCAGUGUAUACGCAUAAAUAAAAAGGAAGGUUUUGCCAAAAUUCUUCGAUGGAACAGUUUACAUUAUUUAAUGCCAGUUUCUCCAAAUCAGAAAGAACUGAGCCCACUUAUGGGACAAUGAAAAGCAACGCAGCUUCAGGACAUCCUGAGAAGGGUGGAGAUGAAGGAUAUUGCCAUGCAAAAUGUCCCAAUGAAGACCAGCUUCUUGUUUGGAGCUGCAGGCUGUGAGGAGUGGUGCAUGACCAGGUCCCUGUGCUGUUGCCUUUGCCUACCUCCAGGAAAGCGUCUGGCUGCUGCUGACAAGGGAGAGCUGUGAGUAUCUGGGGUGACAGCUACUGCUACAGAAAAGGGGAAAAUGACCUCCCCUCACAUCAGCGGUUGCUGCCCUAUCUCUCCAGCCCCGCUGCAGGAGUGGCAAGCCCUAGAAAAGCUCUAAGCACACGCUGGUACCAGGUUUGAGAAGAUUACUCUGUGCCUCCUACUAGCAAUCAUCCACAGUAUUUUUCCCAAAGUACUUUACUGAGUGGGUAAGCACUUCCUUUUUACUGAUGGAAAAACAGACAGAAAAAGAUGAAGUGGUCUGCCCGGGAUAAACAGCUUGGUAUGCUGCCUUUUCAAAGCCCUCAGGAUUGCAAUUUUACCUGGCCAGGGGGCAGCCUGCUGGAAUGACAUUGAACUGGGCUCACGGCAGCCCUUUGGCCCUCAGCUGUGCUCACUGGAGGGGAACGGGCUGAGGAGAGUCCCCUGCUCACAGCUGCCUCUUUGGUCACUUUUCAGAUGGCUGUGGAAAUAACCCCAAGGGACCAGACUUAUGCAUCUUGGUUUUGUCCUCUGACCCAAACUGACUUUGGGAUGACUGGUUUUAUGUUCAAGGGUGGAUCAGCUGCCGCUAUAGGAUACACAUCCCUGAGGACCUCUCUCCUCUUUGACACCUCAUUGAGUCUUUCUUGUUAAGACAGUUGAGCUUGUCUGCAGAGGAAGAGCACUUAUUAUAUUCCUGUGCACAUAGGUGUGGUGAGAGGGCUGGAUUUUUACUGAUGGCCGGCAGGCAGUUUGACUGCUACUAGCAGAAGAAACUUUUCCUGCUGGCUGCAGGGUGUUUGCUAUGGUCUCAUUUCAACUUGCAGGCUGGAGCAUCUUUUUUGAACUUACUUGGGUCCUUGUGAAAAGAUGAGUGACCUAGAACCGCCUUUGGCACCAGCAGCAGCUGUGAUGGCUCCUUCUUCCUAAGGCAUCUCAUUGUGAGGAAGGGCCAGUAUCUGACACUUCCUCCCUGAUGACUCCGGUGAUCACGAUCUGAGGCUUUCAAAGAAGGAUCUAGGUGCUAUGUGUCCCAGAGGCCUGUAGGACAGACUUUAAGGGACAGCUGAGCAGCACAAGUUCAGACCUAGCUUCAGAAGUCACAUGGUCCUGGGUUGGGGAUUGGUCAGACUUGGUACACUAAUUUAAGCUUAUGGCACCUGUAGGAUGGUAUUCAUGCUGAUGUGUUUCGGAUAACAGCAACUCAUGUUCUUUAGCAAGUCAGAGUCACAAGCCUAAAAGCCAGACAAAGGAAGAACAAGGCGGGGGGGGGGGGGGGACAGACAAGGGAGAAGACAAGCACUGUCUCUAACAAUAAAGAAUCAUCACUUGCUUGUCCAAUAGGAGCAGCAGAACACAUUUCUCCUGAAGAUACUCUUUGAGGGUCUGAUUUUUCAUGAAUCUCCAGUUCAGGAGUGAAUACUAUCUCUUGCCUUAACCACCAGUUGCAAACUAGCCAGGGAUUUCACUUACAUUUGCCUCCCGUGUUGCCUCUGGGCAGGACAUAGGACAGGUUACCCACAGCAGAGAACCUGCCACCACUGUAAGCUGGAAGUGUUCUCAAGGUAUAAUUUAAGUGAACUCAAGAGGAAAAAUAGCCCAGAGACAGCGCCUGUGGCCAAAAGCUCAGGCAGAAGUGGUGUCAUGUCAGUCCAGAGCUAUGCAGCGAGCUACUCUGCAUCUUCCUGCCUUCCCCUGUGAAAUGGGGAUUAAAAUACUCAUCUGUUUUACAAACAUGAUUAAAUGUGGGUUGAAAGAACUUCCUGUAAAAAACUUGAAAACUCUUGAGAAUGGUGGUCCUGUUUGCUUAAGGCAGGAUCUGGU
Long non-coding RNA from Haemorhous mexicanus (house finch), 13298 nucleotides. RefSeq lists it as uncharacterized. The record is from RefSeq and is a predicted model, not a curated record. Lineage: Eukaryota; Metazoa; Chordata; Aves; Passeriformes; Fringillidae. The transcript is spliced from 6 exons.